This 657-nucleotide ribosomal RNA is filed under the name uncultured Terrimonas sp. RNAcentral describes it as "bacterial SSU rRNA". It matches the Rfam family "Bacterial small subunit ribosomal RNA", at positions 28 to 678 of the family's 1533-position model. The record is from RNAcentral. Lineage: Bacteria; Pseudomonadati; Bacteroidota; Chitinophagia; Chitinophagales; Chitinophagaceae.
GAUGAACGCUAGCGGCAGGCUUAAUACAUGCAAGUCGAGGGGCAGCAGGUCCGUAGCAAUACGGAUGCUGGCGACCGGCAAACGGGUGCGGAACACGUACACAACCUUCCUUUAAGCGGGGAAUAGCCCGGGGAAACCCGGAUUAAUACCCCAUAGUAUAUUGAAGAGGCAUCUCUUUACUAUUAAAGAUUUAUCACUUGAAGAUGGGUGUGCGGCUGAUUAGCUAGUUGGCGGGGUAACGGCCCACCAAGGCAACGAUCAGUAACUGGUGUGAGAGCACGACCAGUCACACGGGCACUGAGACACGGGCCCGACUCCUACGGGAGGCAGCAGUAAGGAAUAUUGGUCAAUGGACGAAAGUCUGAACCAGCCAUGCCGCGUGGAGGAUGAAGGUCCUCUGGAUUGUAAACUUCUUUUAUAUGGGACGAAAAAAGGCCUUUCCAGGUCGUCUGACGGUACCAUAUGAAUAAGCACCGGCUAACUCCGUGCCAGCAGCCGCGGUAAUACGGAGGGUGCAAGCGUUAUCCGGAUUCACUGGGUUUAAAGGGUGCGUAGUGGGUUGGUAAGUCAGUGGUGAAAUCCCCGAGCUUAACUUGGGAACUGCCAUUGAUACUAUCAAUCUUGAAUACCGUGAGGUCAGCGGAAUAUGUCAUGUAG